This 103-nucleotide microRNA precursor is filed under the name Marmota monax (woodchuck). The record is from RNAcentral. Lineage: Eukaryota; Metazoa; Chordata; Mammalia; Rodentia; Sciuridae.
AGUGGGAUAACUGGGUCAAAUGGUGCUUCCUUUCUAAAUUUUCUGAGGAACCUCCAUACUGUUUUCCACAGUGGUUGCACCAAUUUGCCGUCCCACCAGCAAU